CGAUACCCUCGUCGCGCCAGUCGUACUCCAGCACGUGGAGUCAGGGAACCCGGUGAGACUCCGGGACUGACGCGCAGCGGUGAGGGUGACGGGCGGAGCACGCAGCCUCUGACGAGGCGGCAGCCACUGGAGCACGAUUCCGGGAAGGCGCCCCGACCCGAAAGAUCCCGAGUCCGAAGACCUGCUGGCCCUAGCGGCAAUCG
RNAcentral lists this non-coding RNA (203 nucleotides) under Nocardioides sp. The record is from RNAcentral. Lineage: Bacteria; Bacillati; Actinomycetota; Actinomycetes; Propionibacteriales; Nocardioidaceae. RNAcentral also lists the same sequence under 1 other name.